AUAAUUMAAAGGRCGCGGUAWCCUYGACCGUGAUAAUGUAGCAUACUCAUUCGCCAUUUAAUUGAUGGAUAGUAUGAAUGGUUGAACGAAUAUUCCACUGUCUUAMAAAGAAAUMACAAAAAAUUAGAAUAAUAGURAAGAUUCUAUUUAAAAUUGUAAGACGAAAAGACCCUAUAGAGCUUAACUAUAAGUUYUCUAAUUAAUAUUAWAAGAAARKUUGGUAGUUUAGUUGGGGCGACUGUCUUUUAAAAAUAACAAAGACMAGCAAAAUUAACAUAAAAAUUUAUUGUAUAAUUAAUAAAUUUAACAAUUACAAAAGUAGGCUAUAAUGACCCGUUAUUAUUAUAUAAAAAAAAUAACGAUCAAUAAAUAAAAGCUACCUUAGGGAUAACAGGAUAAUUUUAUUYUAGAGAUCUAAUCGAAAAUAAAGUUUGUCACCUCUAUGUUGAAUUAAGA
This 456-nucleotide ribosomal RNA is filed under the name Sertularella polyzonias. RNAcentral's name for it is "partial 16S ribosomal RNA". It matches the Rfam family "Bacterial large subunit ribosomal RNA", at positions 1919 to 2542 of the family's 2925-position model. The record is from RNAcentral. Lineage: Eukaryota; Metazoa; Cnidaria; Hydrozoa; Leptothecata; Sertulariidae.